GGGCGAGUGGCGGAAUUGGUAUACGCGACGGACUUAAAAUCCGUUGGUUGAAUAAACCUUGAGGGUUCGAGUCCCUCCUUGCCCACCA
RNAcentral lists this transfer RNA (88 nucleotides) under Candidatus Saccharibacteria bacterium RIFCSPHIGHO2_12_FULL_41_12. Its description in RNAcentral is "tRNA-Leu". It matches the Rfam family "tRNA". From Rfam's summary of the family: Transfer RNA (tRNA) molecules are approximately 80 nucleotides in length. Their secondary structure includes four short double-helical elements and three loops (D, anti-codon, and T loops). Lineage: Bacteria; Candidatus Saccharimonadota. The record is from RNAcentral.